This 1371-nucleotide ribosomal RNA is filed under the name uncultured bacterium. RNAcentral's name for it is "bacterial SSU rRNA". It matches the Rfam family "Bacterial small subunit ribosomal RNA", at positions 28 to 1381 of the family's 1533-position model. The record is from RNAcentral.
GAUGAACGCUGGCGGCGUGCCUAAUACAUGCAAGUCGAGCGAACGGACGAGAAGCUUGCUUUUCUGAUGUUAGCGGCGGACGGGUGAGUAACACGUGGAUAACCUACCUAUAAGACUGGGAUAACUUCGGGAAACCGGAGCUAAUACCGGAUAAUAUUUUGAACCGCAUGGUUCAAAAGUGAAAGACGGUCUGCUGUCACUUAUAGAUGGAUCCGCGCUGCAUUAGCUAGUUGGUAAGGUAACGGCUUACCAAGGCAACGAUGCAUAGCCGACCUGAGAGGGUGAUCGGCCACACUGGAACUGAGACACGGUCCAGACUCCUACGGGAGGCAGCAGUAGGGAAUCUUCCGCAAUGGGCGAAAGCCUGACGGAGCAACGCCGCGUGAGUGAUGAAGGUCUUCGGAUCGUAAAACUCUGUUAUUAGGGAAGAACAUAUGUGUAAGUAACUGUGCACAUCUUGACGGUACCUAAUCAGAAAGCCACGGCUAACUACGUGCCAGCAGCCGCGGUAAUACGUAGGUGGCAAGCGUUAUCCGGAAUUAUUGGGCGUAAAGCGCGCGUAGGCGGUUUUUUAAGUCUGAUGUGAAAGCCCACGGCUCAACCGUGGAGGGUCAUUGGAAACUGGAAAACUUGAGUGCAGAAGAGGAAAGUGGAAUUCCAUGUGUAGCGGUGAAAUGCGCAGAGAUGUGGAGGAACACCAGUGGCGAAGGCGACUUUCUGGUCUGUAACUGACGCUGAUGUGCGAAAGCGUGGGGAUCAAACAGGAUUAGAUACCCUGGUAGUCCACGCCGUAAACGAUGAGUGCUAAGUGUUAGGGGGUUUCCGCCCCUUAGUGCUGCAGCUAACGCAUUAAGCACUCCGCCUGGGGAGUACGACCGCAAGGUUGAAACUCAAAGGAAUUGACGGGGGCCCGCACAAGCGGUGGAGCAUGUGGUUUAAUUCGAAGCAACGCGAAGAACCUUACCAAAUCUUGACAUCCUUUGACAACUCUAGAGAUAGAGCCUUCCCCUUCGGGGGACAAAGUGACAGGUGGUGCAUGGUUGUCGUCAGCUCGUGUCGUGAGAUGUUGGGUUAAGUCCCGCAACGAGCGCAACCCUUAAGCUUAGUUGCCAUCAUUAAGUUGGGCACUCUAAGUUGACUGCCGGUGACAAACCGGAGGAAGGUGGGGAUGACGUCAAAUCAUCAUGCCCCUUAUGAUUUGGGCUACACACGUGCUACAAUGGACAAUACAAAGGGCAGCGAAACCGCGAGGUCAAGCAAAUCCCAUAAAGUUGUUCUCAGUUCGGAUUGUAGUCUGCAACUCGACUACAUGAAGCUGGAAUCGCUAGUAAUCGUAGAUCAGCAUGCUACGGUGAAUACGUUCCCGGGUCU